UGGCUCAAUCGGUAGAGCGUCCGACUGUUAGUCGGGCGGUCGCUGGUUCGAGUUCGGU
RNAcentral lists this transfer RNA (58 nucleotides) under Ancylostoma ceylanicum. It matches the Rfam family "tRNA", at positions 8 to 63 of the family's 71-position model. From Rfam's summary of the family: Transfer RNA (tRNA) molecules are approximately 80 nucleotides in length. Their secondary structure includes four short double-helical elements and three loops (D, anti-codon, and T loops). The record is from Rfam by way of RNAcentral. Lineage: Eukaryota; Metazoa; Nematoda; Chromadorea; Rhabditida; Ancylostomatidae.